Long non-coding RNA from Musa acuminata AAA Group (dessert banana), 2863 nucleotides. RefSeq lists it as uncharacterized. The record is from RefSeq and is a predicted model, not a curated record. The transcript has 2 exons. Lineage: Eukaryota; Viridiplantae; Streptophyta; Magnoliopsida; Zingiberales; Musaceae.
CACGAAUCUAAACCAACAUAGGCAAAUCUUGGAUGUCGGCAGGCCGCCUUUGUAGAUUUGCCCAAAGCCUCCGAUGCCGAGUAGAUUCUGUAGGUACAGAUGGUUGCAGGAGAACCUAUGAGCUCCGUCCUAGAAAUCAAAGCAAGAUUUGGUAGCUUAGAGAGAUGGAUCGACGACACCUUUUCUUCUGUUCCAUUUUACCCCAUACCUUUCAAAAAUUAAAGCGAUAUUUGGGAAUUGUCUGCAUGCCAAUCACAACAAAUCAAAUACAGGUAGCCUUAAACUAGACCUUCUCCCUCUUCCCUCCUCUCUCGGAUGAUGAGGGAAACCCCAUCGUCCCCUGCUCUCUUCCCUCCUCUUCGGGUUGCUUCCCCUAUGCAUCCUUCGGUUCCGGCUGUGGUUUCAUCGUUGGUCGCUCCUACCGCUCGAGGAAAGGCUCCAGAGAAGCGUGUCCCGGCUCCGGCCGCUGGCGCCCUUUCAUGGUCGCAGGUACUCUCUUCCUCCCUCCCUAGCCCUUUUGGGGAAAGUAACUUUGGCAUUUGAUUUUUAUUCCCAAGUAUUAAAGAUUUUCAUCAAAAUUUUUUUAUGCAAUGUUAAUUAUCAUAUUUUAUUUAAGAUCGUUAAAAGUUAUCUUUUAUUUUUUUUUUAUUUUUUUGGAGUAAUUUAAGUUCUUGUUACUUAAGAGCUUGUGCAUUCUUAUAUGAUUUUAAAAGAGAAAACCUUGUAUUAUGGUAAAAAUUAAUCUUGAAAAGGCUCAUGAUGAGUUUCUUGGGAGGCUAUUCUAAAAACCCUUGAUUUCAUGCGUUUUGCUCCUCUUUUUAAUAAAUGGAUUCUUAGUUGUGUUACUUCAUUGUCAUUCAUUUGUGUUAUUAAUGAUAUUAUCUCUAAUUCUUUUAAAAAGAGUAGGAGAACUUUUUAUCUUUUCAUUCUCAUAACUAUUUUUUUUUAAAUUGAUUAAAAAAGUUUGUGACAAGAAGUUGAUCUCACCAAUGUUUACUAGGGCUCUUAUAAGAUUUAUCAUCUCCUUUUUGUGAUGAUCUUCUCUUGUUCUUUAGGACCUUUGAGUAGCUCACCAAUCUCAAGAGCUUUCAUUCUGAUUGCUUUAUGGCUCAUUUGGAGGGCUAUGAAUGAUGCUAAAUUUUCGAAUAAAAAUCUCACACUUAAUAAUAUUGUAGACGCUGCUAUAGCUUUCUUGUGGGAUUUUGUUGAUAACAAAGAUUUUGAGAUGUAGUAGAGAAUGCCCUUAUGAGUUCAAUAGAAUCCACCAAAGCAAACAUGGCAUAAGUUCAAUACCGAUGACUCGGGUAUAGGUUUUCUCAUUAGGGAUAGUAAUGCAAUUCUUUUAUUUAUAGGUUACAAAUAUACUACUUGGAGGUUGAUAAUUUUCAAUAAUGCAAUUGCUUUCAAAGAAGUUAACAUUGGGUGCGAAAGAUUUUGAUAGAGUUAGAUUCAUUAGCUAUUUAUUGUGCAACAUAUCAACCAUCCUUUGGAGCUACCAUAGCAUUUAAGGAAUGUUAUUGAGAAUAUUUUAGAUUUUCCAAGUAUAAAUGAGGAGGAGUUUAAGUGAUACAUAUAUUUAGGGAGAGAAAUCACUUAGUAAAUUGGCUAGCGAAUUUAUUUUUGGAGGGAGGAUUUCCCUCCUGAUCUCAUCUGAUUGCUGCUUUGAUUACCUCAUAUGGUUUUGAUGAGGGCAAUAAAUGGCGAUAAGACUCGGACUGACGUCAACUGGCCAACACGAAGCUCACGCCUCGAUCAACCCGGCAGAGUCGGGUCAAACGAACCAGAACACAAGCCGAGGCCCAUUAACGACCGCUCAGGCUCGAUCCCUCACGCCACGCCAACAGCGAUGUCAGACGCCAUCAGAGGUAUGAUCCUGCUCCUUGCGGGCGGGCACAUCAGGUAACACUAAACUUCCCUAUAAAUACCCUCGCGUUCUAAACGCCCGGGGGGAGGAAAAAAGGGGAAAAGAGACAGGGGAAGACGAAGCUGUUUCUUCCCAACGCCGUAGAAUGGAACCCUUCCCCGCAGGACGCCCCCACGAGCUUCCACGUAACUCGAUCCCUGCAACCGGCCGCAUCAGCAACCCCCGAGGGACUCUGAGCAAGAUCCCCGUCAUUCGAACCUGAACUGAGCUGCGUCGGCCCCGAGGCCACGGCUCAAAAAUUGUUCACACCAAUAGUUUUCACUUUCUUUAAAAAAAGAAAAAAAUAAAUAAAAGUGGAGUCUUUAUUUCUUGAGGCUUACCAAAUCAUAAGAAUAAAAGCCGUUUAUGGAUUUAAAAGAGUCACAUAGGUAUGUUUACAACACAGCGACUGCUGCUACUGCUAUUCCACCCCAUGCAUAGACAAAGAAGGCGUCGUCUCCGAUAUGUUUCCAUCAAUCACAAAAACCACACACUCAGACGGGGUACAAGCAGCUCCCAUCGUCGCUCCUGGCCGUCGGAUCAAAGUUUGUGGCAAUCGGAUCAGUGCACCCUUCUGGAACUGGGACGCCCACCUGUUGAGCUGCUUUCCCUGCAUACGGGUAGUAAGCUUAACGCAUCAGCUAUGGCCGCAAAGCACCAUAUCUUUUGUACGUAAGAGACAGGAUGACAUAGAGAGUGCGAACCGUAGAACUGUCCCGUGUUAAUGGCGUCCUCAUUGGCGUCUCCCAGCGCGGCCUCGCUCAGGUACUUGUCGGCCAGCUGCACCCUCUUCACGUUCUCUUGCUCCUUCACCAGCAUGUUACCGUACUCCAUUAGCUUGGCGAGGCUCAUCUUGGGCUGGUCGAACGUCGGCGGUCCUUCCAGUGAGUUGACUAACUUCUUGUUCACGCUUUCAACCCCGAUCUCUGCAACCCAUUUCCUCACCUCAUCAUCAUACAC